UACGUAGGGAGCAAGCGUUAUCCGGAUUUAUUGGGUGUAAAGGGUGCGUAGACGGGAUUACAAGUUGGUUGUGAAACCCCUCGGCUCAACUGAGGAACUGCAACCAAAACUAUAAUUCUUGAGUGCAGGAGAGGAAAGUGGAAUUCCUAGUGUAGCGGUGAAAUGCGUAGAUAUUAGGAAGAACACCGGUGGCGAAGGCGACUUUCUGGACUGUAACUGACGUUGAGGCACGAAAGUGUGGGGAGCAA
This 248-nucleotide ribosomal RNA is filed under the name uncultured Oscillospiraceae bacterium. RNAcentral's name for it is "partial 16S ribosomal RNA". It matches the Rfam family "Bacterial small subunit ribosomal RNA", at positions 524 to 771 of the family's 1533-position model. Lineage: Bacteria; Bacillati; Bacillota; Clostridia; Eubacteriales; Oscillospiraceae. The record is from RNAcentral.